This 494-nucleotide ribosomal RNA is filed under the name uncultured bacterium. Its description in RNAcentral is "partial 16S ribosomal RNA". It matches the Rfam family "Bacterial small subunit ribosomal RNA", at positions 28 to 507 of the family's 1533-position model. The record is from RNAcentral.
GACGAACGCUGGCGGCGUGCCUAACACAUGCAAGUCGAACGGAAAGGCCUGCUUUCCCUUGUGGAUUGCGGGUACUCGAGUGGCGAACGGGUGAGUAACACGUGAGUGAUCUGCCCCCAACUUGGGUAUAAGCCUGGGAAACUGGGUCUAAUUCCCGAUAGUACUGCAGGGUGGUGCCUGUGGUGGAAAACGAUUUUCUAGUGGUUGGGGAUGAGCUCGCGGCCUAUCAGCUUGUUGGUGGGGUAAUGGCCUACCAAGGCGGCGACGGGUAGCCGGCCUGAGAGGGUGGACGGCCACAUUGGGACUGGGAUACGGCCCAGACUCGUACGGGAGGCAGCAGUGGGGAAUAUUGCACAAUGGGCGGAAGCCUGAUGCAGCGACGCCGCGUGGGGGAUGACGGCCUUCGGGUUGUAAACUCCUUUCGACCGCGAGGAAGCCACCUGGUUGGAAGGGUGGUGACGGUAGUGGUAGAAGAAGCACCGGCUAACUACGUG